This 254-nucleotide ribosomal RNA is filed under the name uncultured bacterium. RNAcentral's name for it is "partial 16S ribosomal RNA". It matches the Rfam family "Bacterial small subunit ribosomal RNA", at positions 524 to 775 of the family's 1533-position model. The record is from RNAcentral.
UACGAAGGGGGCUAGCGUUGCUCGGAAUCACUGGGCGUAAAGGGCGCGUAGGCGGCGUUUUUAAGUCGGGGGUGAAAGCCUGUGGCUCAACCACAGAAUGGCCUUCGAUACUGGGACGCUUGAGUAUGGUAGAGGUUGGUGGAACUGCGAGUGUAGAGGUGAAAUUCGUAGAUAUUCGCAAGAACACCGGUGGCGAAGGCGGCCAACUGGACCAUUACUGACGCUGAGGCGCGAAAAGCGUGGGGAGCGAACAG